Molecule: ribosomal RNA, 2920 nt
Filed under: Bacillus thuringiensis
Lineage: Bacteria; Bacillati; Bacillota; Bacilli; Caryophanales; Bacillaceae
Description: 23S ribosomal RNA
Rfam family: Bacterial large subunit ribosomal RNA
Source: RNAcentral
UUAAGUUAGAAAGGGCGCACGGUGGAUGCCUUGACACUAGGAGUCGAUGAAGGACGGGACUAACGCCGAUAUGCUUCGGGGAGCUGUAAGUAAGCUUUGAUCCGAAGAUUUCCGAAUGGGGAAACCCACCAUACGUAAUGGUAUGGUAUCCUUAUCUGAAUACAUAGGGUAAGGAAGACAGACCCAGGGAACUGAAACAUCUAAGUACCUGGAGGAAGAGAAAGCAAAUGCGAUUUCCUGAGUAGCGGCGAGCGAAACGGAACAUAGCCCAAACCAAGAGGCUUGCCUCUUGGGGUUGUAGGACAUUCUAUACGGAGUUACAAAGGAACGAGGUAGACGAAGCGACCUGGAAAGGUCCGUCGUAGAGGGUAACAACCCCGUAGUCGAAACUUCGUUCUCUCUUGAAUGUAUCCUGAGUACGGCGGAACACGUGAAAUUCCGUCGGAAUCUGGGAGGACCAUCUCCCAAGGCUAAAUACUCCCUAGUGAUCGAUAGUGAACCAGUACCGUGAGGGAAAGGUGAAAAGCACCCCGGAAGGGGAGUGAAAGAGAUCCUGAAACCGUGUGCCUACAAAUAGUCAGAGCCCGUUAACGGGUGAUGGCGUGCCUUUUGUAGAAUGAACCGGCGAGUUACGAUCCCGUGCGAGGUUAAGCUGAAGAGGCGGAGCCGCAGCGAAAGCGAGUCUGAAUAGGGCGUUUAGUACGUGGUCGUAGACCCGAAACCAGGUGAUCUACCCAUGUCCAGGGUGAAGUUCAGGUAACACUGAAUGGAGGCCCGAACCCACGCACGUUGAAAAGUGCGGGGAUGAGGUGUGGGUAGCGGAGAAAUUCCAAUCGAACCUGGAGAUAGCUGGUUCUCCCCGAAAUAGCUUUAGGGCUAGCCUUAAGUGUAAGAGUCUUGGAGGUAGAGCACUGAUUGGACUAGGGGUCCUCAUCGGAUUACCGAAUUCAGUCAAACUCCGAAUGCCAAUGACUUAUCCUUAGGAGUCAGACUGCGAGUGAUAAGAUCCGUAGUCAAAAGGGAAACAGCCCAGACCGCCAGCUAAGGUCCCAAAGUGUGUAUUAAGUGGAAAAGGAUGUGGAGUUGCUUAGACAACUAGGAUGUUGGCUUAGAAGCAGCCACCAUUUAAAGAGUGCGUAAUAGCUCACUAGUCGAGUGACUCUGCGCCGAAAAUGUACCGGGGCUAAAUACACCACCGAAGCUGCGGAUUGAUACCGAAUGGUAUCAGUGGUAGGGGAGCGUUCUAAGGACAGUGAAGUCAGACCGUAAGGACUGGUGGAGUGCUUAGAAGUGAGAAUGCCGGUAUGAGUAGCGAAAGACGGGUGAGAAUCCCGUCCACCGAAUGCCUAAGGUUUCCUGAGGAAGGCUCGUCCGCUCAGGGUUAGUCAGGACCUAAGCCGAGGCCGACAGGCGUAGGCGAUGGACAACAGGUUGAUAUUCCUGUACCACCUCUUUAUCGUUUGAGCAAUGGAGGGACGCAGAAGGAUAGAAGAAGCGUGCGAUUGGUUGUGCACGUCCAAGCAGUUAGGCUGAUAAGUAGGCAAAUCCGCUUAUCAUAAAGGCUGAGCUGUGAUGGGGAAGCUCCUUAUGGAGCGAAGUCUUUGAUUCCCCGCUGCCAAGAAAAGCUUCUAGCGAGAUAAAAGGUGCCUGUACCGCAAACCGACACAGGUAGGCGAGGAGAGAAUCCUAAGGUGUGCGAGAGAACUCUGGUUAAGGAACUCGGCAAAAUGACCCCGUAACUUCGGGAGAAGGGGUGCUUUCUUAACGGAAAGCCGCAGUGAAUAGGCCCAAGCGACUGUUUAGCAAAAACACAGCUCUCUGCGAAGCCGUAAGGCGAAGUAUAGGGGGUGACACCUGCCCGGUGCUGGAAGGUUAAGGAGAGGGGUUAGCGUAAGCGAAGCUCUGAACUGAAGCCCCAGUAAACGGCGGCCGUAACUAUAACGGUCCUAAGGUAGCGAAAUUCCUUGUCGGGUAAGUUCCGACCCGCACGAAAGGUGUAACGAUUUGGGCACUGUCUCAACCAGAGACUCGGUGAAAUUAUAGUACCUGUGAAGAUGCAGGUUACCCGCGACAGGACGGAAAGACCCCGUGGAGCUUUACUGUAGCCUGAUAUUGAAUUUUGGUACAGUUUGUACAGGAUAGGCGGGAGCCAUUGAAACCGGAGCGCUAGCUUCGGUGGAGGCGCUGGUGGGAUACCGCCCUGACUGUAUUGAAAUUCUAACCUACGGGUCUUAUCGACCCGGGAGACAGUGUCAGGUGGGCAGUUUGACUGGGGCGGUCGCCUCCUAAAGUGUAACGGAGGCGCCCAAAGGUUCCCUCAGAAUGGUUGGAAAUCAUUCGUAGAGUGCAAAGGCAUAAGGGAGCUUGACUGCGAGACCUACAAGUCGAGCAGGGACGAAAGUCGGGCUUAGUGAUCCGGUGGUUCCGCAUGGAAGGGCCAUCGCUCAACGGAUAAAAGCUACCCGGGGAUAACAGGCUUAUCUCCCCCAAGAGUCCACAUCGACGGGGAGGUUUGGCACCUCGAUGUCGGCUCAUCGCAUCCUGGGGCUGUAGUCGGUCCCAAGGGUUGGGCUGUUCGCCCAUUAAAGCGGUACGCGAGCUGGGUUCAGAACGUCGUGAGACAGUUCGGUCCCUAUCCGUCGUGGGCGUAGGAAAUUUGAGAGGAGCUGUCCUUAGUACGAGAGGACCGGGAUGGACGCACCGCUGGUGUACCAGUUGUUCUGCCAAGGGCAUAGCUGGGUAGCUAUGUGCGGAAGGGAUAAGUGCUGAAAGCAUCUAAGCAUGAAGCCCCCCUCAAGAUGAGAUUUCCCAUAGCGUAAGCUAGUAAGAUCCCUGAAAGAUGAUCAGGUUGAUAGGUUCGAGGUGGAAGCAUGGUGACAUGUGGAGCUGACGAAUACUAAUAGAUCGAGGACUUAACCAU